RNAcentral lists this ribosomal RNA (253 nucleotides) under uncultured bacterium. RNAcentral's name for it is "partial 16S ribosomal RNA". It matches the Rfam family "Bacterial small subunit ribosomal RNA", at positions 524 to 776 of the family's 1533-position model. The record is from RNAcentral.
UACGUAGGUGGCAAGCGUUGUCCGGAUUUACUGGGCGUAAAGAGCGCGCAGGCGGUCGUUCAAGUCGCGUGUGAAAGCCCCCGGCUCAACUGGGGAGGGUCACGCGAUACUGAUCGACUCGAAGGCAGGAGAGGGUAGUGGAAUUCCCGGUGUAGUGGUGAAAUGCGUAGAUAUCUGGAGGAACACCGGUGGCGAAGGCGGCAUCCUGGACCGGCAUUGACGCUGAGGCGCGAAAGCCAGGGGAGCAAACGGG